This 565-nucleotide ribosomal RNA is filed under the name uncultured bacterium. RNAcentral describes it as "partial 16S ribosomal RNA". It matches the Rfam family "Bacterial small subunit ribosomal RNA", at positions 355 to 912 of the family's 1533-position model. The record is from RNAcentral.
UGGGGAAUUUUGGACAAUGGGGGAAACCCUGAUCCAGCCAUCCCGCGUGUGCGAUGAAGGCCUUCGGGUUGUAAAGCACUUUUGGCAGGAAAGAAACGUCGCGGGUUAAUACCCCGCGGAACUGACGGUACCUGCAGAAUAAGCACCGGCUAACUACGUGCCAGCAGCCGCGGUAAUACGUAGGGUGCAAGCGUUAAUCGGAAUUACUGGGCGUAAAGCGUGCGCAGGCGGUUCGGAAAGAAAGAUGUGAAAUCCCAGAGCUUAACUUUGGAACUGCAUUUUUAACUACCGGGCUAGAGUGUGUCAGAGGGAGGUGGAAUUCCGCGUGUAGCAGUGAAAUGCGUAGAUAUGCGGAGGAACACCGAUGGCGAAGGCAGCCUCCUGGGAUAACACUGACGCUCAUGCACGAAAGCGUGGGGAGCAAACAGGAUUAGAUACCCUGGUAGUCCACGCCCUAAAACGAUGUCAACUAGCUGUUGGGGUCUUCGGACCUUGGUAGCGCAGCUAACGCGUGAAGUUGACCGCCUGGGGAGUACGGUCGCAAGAUUAAAACUCAAAUGAAUUG